GCGGGUGUAGUUCAAUGGUAGAACUUUAGCUUCCCAAGCUGAUAGCGUGGGUUCGAUUCCCAUCACCCGCUC
Molecule: transfer RNA, 72 nt
Filed under: Legionella busanensis
Lineage: Bacteria; Pseudomonadati; Pseudomonadota; Gammaproteobacteria; Legionellales; Legionellaceae
Description: tRNA-Gly(ccc)
Rfam family: tRNA
About the family: Transfer RNA (tRNA) molecules are approximately 80 nucleotides in length. Their secondary structure includes four short double-helical elements and three loops (D, anti-codon, and T loops).
Source: RNAcentral